AGAGCGAACGCUGGCGGCAGGCCUAACACAUGUAAGUCGAGCGCCCGUAGCAAUACGGGAGCGGCAGACGGGAUAGUAACACGUGGGAACGCGCCCUUCGGUUCGGAAUAACUCAGGGAAACUUGAGCUAAUACCGGAUACGCCCUUACGGGGAAAGAUUUAUUGCCGAAGGAACGGCCCGCGUCCGAUUAGCUAGUUGGUGAGGUAAUGGCUCACCAAGGCGACGAUCGGUAGCUGGUCUGAGAGGAUGACCAGCAUCACUGGGACUGAGACACGGCCCAGACUCCUACGGGAGGCAGCAGUGGGGAAUAUGGACAAUGGGCGCAAGCCUGAUCCAGCCAUGCCGCGUGGAUGAUGAAGGCCUUAGGGUUGUAAAGUCCUUUUAACGGGGAAGAUAAUGACGGUACCCGUAGAAUAAGCCCCGGCUAACUUCGUGCCAGCAGCCGC
RNAcentral lists this ribosomal RNA (447 nucleotides) under uncultured bacterium. RNAcentral describes it as "SSU rRNA". It matches the Rfam family "Bacterial small subunit ribosomal RNA", at positions 26 to 518 of the family's 1533-position model. The record is from RNAcentral.